This 355-nucleotide long non-coding RNA is filed under the name Lathyrus oleraceus (garden pea). Its description in RNAcentral is "Pisum sativum (pea) long non-coding RNA (PSAT_LNC035360)". Lineage: Eukaryota; Viridiplantae; Streptophyta; Magnoliopsida; Fabales; Fabaceae. The record is from RNAcentral.
UCUCUCUUUGACCUAUCUUCCGGAGAAGAAGGUGGCAGGCGGCUGUCCACGGUGGCGCCGCCCCUCUACUCCGGCGAACAAACAAAAAUUCCACCUUCCCCAUUAAAAUACUCUCCUGAGUUUGAAUCUGAACUCAGAUUCUUCACCACUAUCCCUAAUCGUCCGGAUCGGAAACAAAAAUUCCACCUUCCCCAUUAAAAUACUCUCCUGAGUUUGAAUCUGAACUCAGAUUCUUCACCACUAUCCCUAAUCGUCCGGAUCGGGGACGUCUAACUAAAACCCUAAGACCAAAAUCGAAUAAAAAUUAGUGAAGGUCUCCCCCAAUUAAACAUGGAUUCCUCUCAAGUCUGCAAGG